GGUUAAGCGACUAAGCGUACACGGUGGAUGCCCUGGCAGUCAGAGGCGAUGAAGGACGUGCUAAUCUGCGAAAAGCGUCGGUAAGGUGAUAUGAACCGUUAUAACCGGCGAUGUCCGAAUGGGGAAACCCAGUGCAAUUCGUUGCACUAUCGUUAACUGAAUACAUAGGUUAACGAGGCGAACCGGGGGAACUGAAACAUCUAAGUACCCCGAGGAAAAGAAAUCAACCGAGAUUCCCCCAGUAGCGGCGAGCGAACGGGGAGCAGCCCAGAGUCUGAAUCAGCUUGUGUGUUAGUGGAACGGUCUGGAAAGUCCGACGGUACAGGGUGAUAGUCCCGUACACCAAAAUGCACAGGCUGUGAACUCGAAGAGUAGGGCGGGACACGUGGUAUCCUGUCUGAAUAUGGGGGGACCAUCCUCCAAGGCUAAAUACUCCUGACUGACCGAUAGUGAACCAGUACCGUGAGGGAAAGGCGAAAAGAACCCCGGCGAGGGGAGUGAAAAAGAACCUGAAACCGUGUACGUACAAGCAGUGGGAGCACCUUCGGGUGUGACUGCGUACCUUUUGUAUAAUGGGUCAGCGACUUAUAUUCUGUAGCAAGGUUAACCGUAUAGGGGAGCCGCAGGGAAACCGAGUCUUAACUGGGCGUUAAGUUGCAGGGUAUAGACCCGAAACCCGGUGAUCUAGCCAUGGGCAGGUUGAAGGUUGGGUAACACUAACUGGAGGACCGAACCGACUAAUGUUGAAAAAUUAGCGGAUGACUUGUGGCUGGGGGUGAAAGGCCAAUCAAACCGGGAGAUAGCUGGUUCUCCCCGAAAGCUAUUUAGGUAGCGCCUCGUGAAUUCAUCUUCGGGGGUAGAGCACUGUUUCGGCUAGGGGGUCAUCCCGACUUACCAACCCGAUGCAAACUACGAAUACCGAAGAAUGUUAUCACGGGAGACACACGGCGGGUGCUAACGUCCGUCGUGAAGAGGGAAACAACCCAGACCGCCAGCUAAGGUCCCAAAGUCAUGGUUAAGUGGGAAACGAUGUGGGAAGGCACAGACAGCCAGGAUGUUGGCUUAGAAGCAGCCAUCAUUUAAAGAAAGCGUAAUAGCUCACUGGUCGAGUCGGCCUGCGCGGAAGAUGUAACGGGGCUAAACCAUGCACCGAAGCUGCGGCAGCGACACUAUGUGUUGUUGGGUAGGGGAGCGUUCUGUAAGCCUGCGAAGGUGACCUGUGAGGGUUGCUGGAGGUAUCAGAAGUGCGAAUGCUGACAUAAGUAACGAUAAAGCGGGUGAAAAGCCCGCUCGCCGGAAGACCAAGGGUUCCUGUCCAACGUUAAUCGGGGCAGGGUGAGUCGACCCCUAAGGCGAGGCCGAAAGGCGUAGUCGAUGGGAAACAGGUUAAUAUUCCUGUACUUGGUGUUACUGCGAAGGGGGGACGGAGAAGGCUAUGUUAGCCGGGCGACGGUUGUCCCGGUUUAAGCAUGUAGGCUGAUUGUCCAGGCAAAUCCGGAUAAUCAAGGCUGAGGUGUGAUGACGAGGCACUACGGUGCUGAAGUAACAAAUGCCCUGCUUCCAGGAAAAGCCUCUAAGCAUCAGGUAACAUUAAAUCGUACCCCAAACCGACACAGGUGGUCAGGUAGAGAAUACCAAGGCGCUUGAGAGAACUCGGGUGAAGGAACUAGGCAAAAUGGUGCCGUAACUUCGGGAGAAGGCACGCUGGUGUGUAGGUGAAGUCCCUGCGGAUGGAGCUGAGACCAGUCGAAGAUACCAGCUGGCUGCAACUGUUUAUUAAAAACACAGCACUGUGCAAACACGAAAGUGGACGUAUACGGUGUGACGCCUGCCCGGUGCCGGAAGGUUAAUUGAUGGGGUUAUCCGUAAGGAGAAGCUCUUGAUCGAAGCCCCGGUAAACGGCGGCCGUAACUAUAACGGUCCUAAGGUAGCGAAAUUCCUUGUCGGGUAAGUUCCGACCUGCACGAAUGGCGUAAUGAUGGCCAGGCUGUCUCCACCCGAGACUCAGUGAAAUUGAACUCGCUGUGAAGAUGCAGUGUACCCGCGGCAAGACGGAAAGACCCCGUGAACCUUUACUAUAGCUUGACACUGAACAUUGAGCCUUGAUGUGUAGGAUAGGUGGGAGGCUUUGAAGCGUGGACGCCAGUCUGCGUGGAGCCAACCUUGAAAUACCACCCUUUAAUGUUUGAUGUUCUAACGUUGGCCCCUGACCGGGGUUGCGGACAGUGUCUGGUGGGUAGUUUGACUGGGGCGGUCUCCUCCCAAAGCGUAACGGAGGAGCACGAAGGUUAGCUAAUCCUGGUCGGACAUCAGGAGGUUAGUGCAAUGGCAUAAGCUAGCUUGACUGCGAGCGUGACGGCGCGAGCAGGUGCGAAAGCAGGUCAUAGUGAUCCGGUGGUUCUGAAUGGAAGGGCCAUCGCUCAACGGAUAAAAGGUACUCCGGGGAUAACAGGCUGAUACCGCCCAAGAGUUCAUAUCGACGGCGGUGUUUGGCACCUCGAUGUCGGCUCAUCACAUCCUGGGGCUGAAGUAGGUCCCAAGGGUAUGGCUGUUCGCCAUUUAAAGUGGUACGCGAGCUGGGUUUAGAACGUCGUGAGACAGUUCGGUCCCUAUCUGCCGUGGGCGCUGGAGAAUUGAGGGGGGCUGCUCCUAGUACGAGAGGACCGGAGUGGACGCAUCACUGGUGUUCGGGUUGUCAUGCCAAUGGCACUGCCCGGUAGCUAAAUGCGGAAGAGAUAAGUGCUGAAAGCAUCUAAGCACGAAACUUGCCCCGAGAUGAGUUCUCCCUGAGACUUUAAGUCUCCUGAAGGAACGUUAAAGACGAUGACGUUGAUAGGCCGGGUGUGUAAGCGCAGCGAUGCGUUGAGCUAACCGGUACUAAUGAACCGUGAGGCUUAACCUU
Molecule: ribosomal RNA, 2902 nt
Filed under: Klebsiella pneumoniae
Lineage: Bacteria; Pseudomonadati; Pseudomonadota; Gammaproteobacteria; Enterobacterales; Enterobacteriaceae
Description: 23S ribosomal RNA
Rfam family: Bacterial large subunit ribosomal RNA
Source: RNAcentral